RNAcentral lists this ribosomal RNA (363 nucleotides) under Dinophyceae sp. RNAcentral describes it as "partial small subunit ribosomal RNA". It matches the Rfam family "Eukaryotic small subunit ribosomal RNA", at positions 582 to 946 of the family's 1831-position model. Lineage: Eukaryota; Dinophyceae. The record is from RNAcentral.
AUUCCAGCUCCAAUAGCGUAUAUUAAAGUUGUUGCGGUUAAAAAGCUCGUAGUUGGAUUUCUGCUGAGGACGACUGGUCCGCCCCCUGGGUGAGCAUCUGGUUCGGCCUGGGCAUCUUCUUGGGGAACGUAUCUGCACUUGAUUGUGUGGUGCGGUAUCCAGGACUUUUACUUUGAGGAAAUUAGAGUGUUUCAAGCAGGCCCGCGCCUUGAAUACAUUAGCAUGGAAUAAUAAGAUAGGACCUCGGUUCUAUUUUGUUGGUUUCUAGAGCUGAGGUAAUGAUUAAUAGGGAUAGUUGGGGGCAUUCGUAUUUAACUGUCAGAGGUGAAAUUCUUGGAUUUGUUGCCAAGGAUGUUUUCAUUG